CAACAACGGAUCUCUUGGUUCUGGCAUCGAUGAAGAACGCAGCGAAAUGCGAUAAGUAGUGUGAAUUGCAGAAUUCAGUGAAUCAUCGAAUCUUUGAACGCACAUUGCGCCCCUUGGUAUUCCAUGGGGCAUGCUUGUUCGAGCGUCAUUUGUACUCUCAAGCUCUGCUUGGUGUUGGGU
RNAcentral lists this ribosomal RNA (180 nucleotides) under Ophiosimulans tanaceti. Its description in RNAcentral is "5.8S ribosomal RNA". The stretch from base 1 to 148 matches the Rfam family "5.8S ribosomal RNA". From Rfam's summary of the family: 5.8S ribosomal RNA (5.8S rRNA) is a component of the large subunit of the eukaryotic ribosome. It is transcribed by RNA polymerase I as part of the 45S precursor that also contains 18S and 28S rRNA. The record is from RNAcentral. Lineage: Eukaryota; Fungi; Ascomycota; Dothideomycetes; Pleosporales; Phaeosphaeriaceae.